CGGCGAAAGGGUGAGUAACACGUAACCAACGUACCCCUCAGAUCGGGAUAACCACUGGAAACGGUGGAUAAUACUGAAUGGUCCUAGGAAGGACAUCCUUCCGAAGGCAAACGGCGGCUUCGGCUGCUGUUGAGGGAGCGGGUUGCGUCCUAUCAGCUUGUUGGUGAGGUAACGGCUCACCAAGGCUAUGACGGGUAGCGGGUCUGAGAGGAUGAUCCGCCACACUGGGACUGAGACACUGCCCAGACUCCUACGGGAGGCUGCAGUCGAGGAUCUUCCACAAUGGGCGAAAGCCUGAUGGAGCGACGCUGCGUGUAGGAUGAAGGCCUUAGGGUUGUAAACUACUGUCACGCUAUAGGAACCCGUGUAGGUUAAUAGCCUGCGCGCUGACCAAAGCGAGAGGAAGUGCCGGCUAACUCCGUGCCAGCAACCGCGGUAAGACGGAGGGCGCAAGCGUUGUUCGGAAUCACUGGGCAUAAAGGGCGCGUAGGCGGCCAGUUCAGUCGGAUGUGAAAUCCCCCGGCCCAACCGGGGAACUGCAUUCGAUACUGACUGGCUAGAGGAUGGUAGGAGCCAAUGGAACUCCAGGCGGAACGGUGAAAUGUGUAGAUAUCUGGAGGAACACCGGUGGCGAAAGCGAUUGGCUGGGCCAUUUCUGACGCUGAGGCGCGAAAGCUAGGGGAGCGAACGGGAUUAGAUACCCCGGUAGUCCUAGCCGUAAACGAUGGGUACUGG
RNAcentral lists this ribosomal RNA (735 nucleotides) under uncultured Planctomycetota bacterium. Its description in RNAcentral is "bacterial SSU rRNA". It matches the Rfam family "Bacterial small subunit ribosomal RNA", at positions 96 to 819 of the family's 1533-position model. The record is from RNAcentral. Lineage: Bacteria; Pseudomonadati; Planctomycetota.